UCAGGGAGGGAGUUCAGGGAGGAGAGGGAUUGGGGAUGAAAACAACAGCUCACUGUCCUUUUGCAAAUGGAAUUUACAGGCCCCAUUUCAUGCAUGAGAACACUGAGGCUUAGAGAGGUGGGGUUACUUGAACAAGGUCACAAGGCUGGUUAAAGUAGGGAAAAUAAAUGAAAUAUUUUACAGUUCAUGGCAUAAGAAUACGCCAGUUUCAGGCAUGUAGAUGAUGAUGAUGGUGGUGGUGGAGAUAAUGAUAAUGAUGAUGACAGGAACUGAAGGGCACAAUUAAGGCCUUAAAGAUCUCCUGGAUGUGGUCACUGUAACCUGUCAAGGCAUGACCUGGAAUCUUUUACAGCAUGGCUUCUCUCCUAGAAUCACAGAGUGGCCAAGAGUGAGGACGUUGACACUACACAGACCUGGGGCAGACCCGGCCCUGCUGCUGAGUGGUUGACUGGCCCCAGGUGAGUUCUGUAACUUCCAUGAGCCUCAGGGUCCUCAUCUGCAAGAUGGGAGGAAAGAGGAGAUCACAGGAAUUUUGUGAGGAAUAAAUAAAAGAAUGUAUAGAAAGCACAGAGCCUGUGUCUGGCAUGCAAGACUUGUUGAGUAAAUGUUAACUUUUCCUGUUUUACUGUGAAGUGGCAACAUGAGGUCCUGCACACAGCCAGGGUUCAGUGAAUAUGGCUAAGCCCAGAGUCCUUAUUGGGAGAAAGUGGCCAGAAACCAGGCUCAAACUCCAGUGCCUCAACUUCCUAAGCGUAUGCAGCUUGAAAGAACAUUACACCCCCUCAAAGGGGGUAAAGUCAGUGUGGGGGAUGACACUUCCCUUCAGGUUUGCUGGGGGAUGAGACGCUGCCUGUAAAGUGCUCAGCACAUAGUAGGUGCACAACAAAGUUAUUGUUCAUGUUGAGAACUAGUCUCAUGCCCAGACUGGGCUCACCUCAGAGGGGUCACACACAUUCCUUUUCUUCUGGGAAAUCAAGGUGAACUGGAUGAAUGGCUCAGCACCUUCUCACAUGCAGACCUGCUGGGAGUGGGAGGUGGACCUACGGGGUUCUGCACCAUCUGGAGCUCAUUUCAUGGACAGAAAGGAAACAGAAAGGCAGGCACGCUCUCCUGAGGGCCUACUAUGUCCAGAUGCUUUGCUUAAACAGAGAAUAUUUAUUUCUCAGUCACAAACUCAGGUGUGCAAAAAUGCAACUUUGUGUCCAGAACGCAGUUAACUCUGGUUUCCCACCCACUCCAUGUGCCUCACCACAGGCUGCUUAAUCCAGUUCUCUUCUGGCUGGAACUCAGGGAUUUAAGCUCUGAUUUGGGUUUGUAAUUCAGGUUUCCUCCUCCCUCUCUGGGUGGUGGAGGUGGGAUGCGGGGGAUGGGGGGCUCUCUUCUGGCUCUGCCCCUUCUCUCCAGCCUGGCUCCCUGGGUCUGAUGACUGCUCUACCAAACGGUGGCCUUGACCUCUGUCUGGUGCUGGCCCUGGAGCCCCGUGAGAUGUCAGCCUGGAUGUAGUGGGAGGUCUGCAGGAGCCCCGCUCAGGAAAUGCGGAUCCCUUGAGGCCCUCUGCAGGUUUUCACAGGCGCUGACACCCAGCGCUUUCAUCCUGUGUCCCAGGGUGGGAACAUCUGCAUCCCCAUAUUUCAGGAGUGCCGUUGCCUGUGCACCCACAAGAGGUCUCAUCUUAUCCUGGCAACAGCCUGUAGGGUUGGGAGCAGCUGCGAGCCAUUUGUGCAGGAGUGCCCGGGGAGAUGGUUACGUGCUUCAUCAUUCAAGCUUGCCCUCCCUCUCCUAGGUAGCACUGCCUUGAAACUACUCCUAGCAAGAAACACAGCUUCUGAUCAUGGGAGAACCUAUUUGCAUCACAGUUCACAAACAUGCUUUUAGACACUCUCCACUUCAGUGGAGGAAACAGAGCCCCAGCGAGGGGAAGAGACUUACCCAAGUCACGUAGCUAAGAGGCAAAAUCAGGAUUCAGACUCAGCCUCCCAGCGCUCACUCCACAGUGCCUUGUUGGCCCAGCCCUAGAAGGCCUCCUGGCUGGAGGCCAUUGCCUGAGCCUGGGGAUGACACAUAUGUCCACUGGAUGUCAUGAUUUCUCUACUGAAGCUAGCUGGACCUUCUUGGCAGUGACAUAGGAUUUUCCCCCUUCCUGGGGCAAAGCAGUCUCAUAUGGGACACUCAGGUGGUGGCUCUCCCUCCUUUUGGCUCAAAGACAGGAGUUUCUCCACCUGGGAAACAGGCGGCCUUCUCUCUCUCUACGUCAUCAAGUCAGUGCAGAGCGCAUGGAGCAGCAACGCCCUGCCCAGCUCUGGGCUGCCCGCUGCGUGCUGAGGAUCCAGAGACAAACCAGCCAUGCUCCUGGCUGAGCGGAAGGUCCUCCCGAGCCUGCACAGUCUGAACUUGCUGAGCUGCCAGAAGCCAGAGCCAAAUGUGUCGCCCAAGUAUGGGGGCUGCGCUCCCUGGUUUCUGAAGCACCACCUCGGCUUCCUUUGGGGAGCACUGUUCAGAUUCACCUGCCUUGCGCCAGAAUCUCUGGGCACCCCCAUGCCUAGCCCAGGGCAGGAGCCAAGUCUGAAAGAAACUCAAGUGCUUGACAAGCUCAUCCGGGAAAGCACAAAGCUGUCGGACCUGAGAAGGACGUCUUAUCAAAGUCCACACUCUCCGAUCUUAGAGGAGACGAAAUAGGAGGGCAAUGGCUUCCGUCAAGGCUGAAACCAAACAUUUUGGCUAUAUCUGAACGACCACUGAAUCACCGAGUCCACCGUAUUUUUCCACUUUCAAGUUGUUUCUGGGCUGCUGUGGAGACACGCCCUUCCUGGGUUUAAUGGCCCUCGUGUCAGGCUGUGGGGAGGAGGCGUGUUUACUUUUUGCAGGGAAAAUAGUGGUUAAUGGUGGACGGAUGGACCUGAUUAGUAAUUGGGUGAUUUAUCCCAUGAACGUUCUUUGGGUUUUCCCGGUGGUUUGCACUUGAAUGUCGGCUGAAUGAAGUAGGAGGAGGGACUAAGAGGAAGAUGGUUUCGAGGAGAAAGGGGUGGGGUUGGCUCAGGGUUGAGGGCUGUUUCAGGGACAGGUGGAGGUUUGCGCAGAUCAAGGGAGAAGGUUGUUCCAUCUGUUGUCCAAGACUCUUCCUCUAUGUUCAUUCACUCACUCGCUUAAUCGCUCACUCACUCAUUCACUUAUUGAAAGCUAUGAAAUUCUGAGCACCUUCUCUGUGCUGGGGAUACAGCACACCUCAUACCUCCUAAGUACCAUGCAGCCAGUGUGAUGAAUAAGCUCUCUUUCUGCCAUGGACUGAGCCUUGUGUCCCCGGCCAAAUUCCCGUGUUGAAAUCUAAUUCCCAAAGUGAUGGUAUUUGGAGGUGGGGUCUUUGGGAGGUAAGUAGGUCUUGAAGGUGGAUCCCUUGUGAAUGGGAUUAGUGCCCUUAAAAAAGAGACUGAAAAGAGCUCCCUGGCUCUCUUUCCACCAUGUGAGGACACAAGAAGAAGUCAGCCUUAACCCAGAAGAGGGCCCUCACCAGAACCUGAUCAUGCUGGCACCGUGAUUUCAGACUUCCAGCCUCCAGAACUGUGAGAAAUACAUUUCUAUUAUUUAUAAGCCACCCGGUUUCUGGUAUUUUGUUACAGCAGCCUGAGCUGGCGAAGAUGCCCUCCUUUAGAGGAGCGUGCAGACUUGAUAAGGGAAACAGAUGGGCCAACAGAUAAUUCCCAGCAGAGGUGUGUUCAAACAUGAGGUAAUAACAGCUAACGCUUACUAGGCAUUUUCCAUGUACCAGACACGGUUCUAAGUGCUUUUCAUGUAUUAAUCAUUUGUUUCUCUCAACAGCCCUGGGGACUAGGUACUAAGCAGAUGGAGGAACAGAGAUGUAAGUAACUUACCCAAGAUCACACAGCCAGCAGAUCUGCACCGAGGCAGUGUGUCCAGCUUUUUAUCGUCAUGGUAUCCAGGUCUACUUUGGAAACGAGGCGGCUAUGCCUCAAAAGGGAAGGGUUCCCAGAGAGAGUGAUGUUGGACGUGGGCCUUGAGGAGGAAGUAGAGAAGUUUUAGAGGUAGAGGAGGCCACAGCAAGAUGCCCCAACAGCUGAAAGUGCCUGUCACGUGCCAAGAGUGGCAAGGGGUGGAGGUUUCCUGAGAGGGGAAGUGGAGGAGAGGCCGGCAGGGCCAGACUCUGAUCCUUUCUUGAAGGAGUGGCUUGGGUAGUCCGAUUUUAAAUGAAGAAAGAGCUCUCAGCGGGGUGCAGUGGCUCACGCCUGUAAUUUCAGCACUUUGGGAGGCCAAGGCUGGUGGAUCACCUGAGGUCAGGAGUUCAAGACUAGCCUGGCCAACAUGGCGAAACCCCGUCUCUACAAAAAUACAAGAAUUAGCCAGGCAUGAUUGUGGGUGCCCGUAAUGCCAGCUACUCGGGAGGCUAAGGAGGGAGAAUCGCUUGAUCCCAGGAGGCAGAGGUUGCAGAGAGCCGAGAUGGCACCACUGCACUCCAGCCUGGGUGACAGAGUGAGAUUCCAUCUCUAAAACAACAACAAAGAAAACGAAAACAAAACAAAAAAAAGAAGGAAAAAAAAAGGAAGAGCUCCCAGGCAGCUCAGUAGAGAAUGGCUUGAGAGGUGGGGGAAGAUUAGAGGCAGGGGAAAGUGGACACCUGCUGUUUCAGCCCCCUAGCACCUGCUCUUCCCCAGGAGACAACCUCCUUUGUUCUGAGGCCUGGUGUUUUCACUGAUGCUGACUGCUUGAGGGGUGGCACAUGACUCAGGUCUGGCCAAUCAGCCUCUUCCAUCCCCCUGGCUGCAGGGACUGGCUCAGGAGGGUGCAUGUGACCAGAGGCCGACCGAUGAGACUCAGUUCUGAGAUUUUUGUUAGACUUGUUGCAGAAAAGAGACUGUCUCCUGAGGUUGCUGAGCUGGGUAUCUCCACCAGGAGCUGCAGGGGCCAUGCUGUCACCAUGUGAAGACAGGUUGCUUGACAACAAAGUUGCAUUAGUUUCCUUGGGCAGCCAUAGCAAAGUAUCACAGACUGGGGAGCUUAAACAACAGAAAUUUAUUUCCCCACAAUUCUGGAGGCUAAGUCCAAGAUCAAAGUGUCAGCAGGGUUGAUUUCUUCUGAGGCUUCUCUUCGGCUUGUAGAUGGGUGGCUGUCUUCUUCUGGUGUCUUUACAUGGUCUUCCCUCUGUAUGUGUGUGUGUCUGUGUCCCAAUCUCCUCCUUUUCUUCUUCUCCUUUUUUUUUUUUUUUCUUUUGGGAUGGAGUCUCUCACUCUGUCCCCAGGCUGGAGUGCAGUGACCUGAUCUCGGCUCACUGCAACCUUCACCUCCUGGUUCAAGUGAUUCUCCUGCCUCAGCCCCCCGAGUAGCUGGGACUACAGGCACAAGCCACCAUGCCCAGCUAAUUUUUGUAUUUUUAGUAGGGACUGGCUUUCACCUUAUUGGCCAGGCUGGUCUGGAAC
Homo sapiens (human) is the source of this 5426-nucleotide long non-coding RNA. RefSeq lists it as uncharacterized. The transcript is spliced from 3 exons. The record is from RefSeq and is a predicted model, not a curated record. Lineage: Eukaryota; Metazoa; Chordata; Mammalia; Primates; Hominidae.